RNAcentral lists this ribosomal RNA (256 nucleotides) under uncultured bacterium. RNAcentral's name for it is "partial 16S ribosomal RNA". It matches the Rfam family "Bacterial small subunit ribosomal RNA", at positions 521 to 776 of the family's 1533-position model. The record is from RNAcentral.
UAAUACGGAGGAUCCGAGCGUUAUCCGGAUUUAUUGGGUUUAAAGGGUGCGUAGGUGGAUUGAUAAGUCAGCGGUGAAAGUUUGCAGCUUAACUGUAAAAUUGCCGUUGAAACUGUCGGUCUUGAGUGCAAAUGAGGUAGGCGGAAUGUGUUGUGUAGCGGUGAAAUGCUUAGAUAUAACACAGAACUCCGAUUGCGAAGGCAGCUUACUGGGAUGCAACUGACACUGAUGCACGAAAGCGUGGGUAUCAAACAGG